Molecule: ribosomal RNA, 503 nt
Filed under: uncultured bacterium
Lineage: Bacteria
Description: bacterial SSU rRNA
Rfam family: Bacterial small subunit ribosomal RNA
Source: RNAcentral
AACGCUGGCGGCAUGCCUAACACAUGCAAGUCGAACGGCAGCACAGAGGAGCUUGCUCCUUGGGUGGCGAGUGGCGGACGGGUGAGUAAUGCAUCGGGAUCUACCCUGACGUGGGGGAUAACCUCGGGAAACCGGGACUAAUACCGCAUACGUCCUACGGGAGAAAGCGGGGACCUUUUAGGCCUCGCGCGGCAGGACGAACCGAUGUGCGAUUAGCUAGUUGGCGGGGUAAUGGCCCACCAAGGCGACGAUCGCUAGCUGGUCUGAGAGGAUGAUCAGCCACACUGGGACUGAGACACGGCCCAGACUCCUACGGGAGGCAGCAGUGGGGAAUAUUGGACAAUGGGCGCAAGCCUGAUCCAGCAAUGCCGCGUGUGUGAAGAAGGCCUUCGGGUUGUAAAGCACUUUUAUCAGGAGCGAAAUCUGCAUGCUUAAUACGUGUGCAGUCUGACGGUACCUGAGGAAUAAGCACCGGCUAACUUCGUGCCAGCAGCCGCGGUAAU